GCGGAUGUAGCUCAGUUGGUAGAGCGCAACCUUGCCAAGGUUGAGGUC
RNAcentral lists this transfer RNA (48 nucleotides) under Acidimicrobiaceae bacterium. RNAcentral describes it as "tRNA-Gly". It matches the Rfam family "tRNA", at positions 1 to 46 of the family's 71-position model. From Rfam's summary of the family: Transfer RNA (tRNA) molecules are approximately 80 nucleotides in length. Their secondary structure includes four short double-helical elements and three loops (D, anti-codon, and T loops). The record is from RNAcentral. Lineage: Bacteria; Bacillati; Actinomycetota; Acidimicrobiia; Acidimicrobiales; Acidimicrobiaceae.